Pelobates cultripes (western spadefoot toad) is the source of this 272-nucleotide non-coding RNA. The record is from the annotation of a GenBank genome assembly. Lineage: Eukaryota; Metazoa; Chordata; Amphibia; Anura; Pelobatidae.
AGAUCUAGAAACAUAUAAAUACAAUUAAGUCAGACGUGGUUAAUACAAAAUAAAUGUAACUGUGAUUUUAUUGAUUUGAUCUGUUUUUAGGCUCUCAGUACAGUUCACACCCUAUUGCUGUGCAUGAAAUAAGGACAAGGAGGAGAUGAAUCUGUUUAUCUUAUUGAGUGAAUUUGGGGAGCAUUACCUUGGAAUUGGAUUGGAGACCACACACCUUUUCUAAUGGUUUUUUUAUAAACAUAGAGUUGGAGAUGCAUGGAAUAACCUUUCAG